GAUUAAUACCCCAUAAAGAUAUCGAGAGGCAUCUUUUGAUAUUUAAAGUUUCGGCGGUACGGGAUGGGCAUGCGUAACAUUAGCUAGUUGGUAGGGUAACGGCCUACCAAGGCGACGAUGUUUAGGGGUCCUGAGAGGGUGAUCCCCCACACUGGUACUGAGACACGGACCAGACUCCUACGGGAGGCAGCAGUGAGGAAUAUUGGUCAAUGGGCGCAAGCCUGAACCAGCCAUCCCGCGUGCAGGAAGACGGCGCUAUGCGUUGUAAACUGCUUUUCCAGAGGAAGAAAACCCUCGACGAGUCGGGGCUUGCCGGUACUCUGGGAAUAAGCAUCGGCUAACUCCGUGCCAGCAGCCGCGGUAAUACGGAGGAUGCGAGCGUUAUCCGGAUUUAUUGGGUUUAAAGGGUGCGUAGGCGGAUUACUAAGUCAGUGGUGAAAACCUUCAACUUAACUGGAGACUUGCCAUUGAUACUGGUAG
This 480-nucleotide ribosomal RNA is filed under the name uncultured bacterium. Its description in RNAcentral is "bacterial SSU rRNA". It matches the Rfam family "Bacterial small subunit ribosomal RNA", at positions 161 to 639 of the family's 1533-position model. The record is from RNAcentral.